Long non-coding RNA from Hevea brasiliensis (rubber tree), 749 nucleotides. RefSeq lists it as uncharacterized. The record is from RefSeq and is a predicted model, not a curated record. The transcript has 2 exons. NCBI's taxonomy places the organism in Eukaryota, Viridiplantae, Streptophyta, Magnoliopsida, Malpighiales, Euphorbiaceae.
CCAAUCUGAGGGCCAUUCACUCUUCUAACAUAAAGGGGGAUAGAGACGUUUUUCUCUCAUUUUUGUGUGUUUAGCUAGGGUCUAGUUCCUCUUUGUUCUGCCGGCCAGCAACUCUGCCCCUCAAGGGCAGGGGGAGCUCCUCCCUCAGCCCGGAUGGAAAUUGCUUCAAUGGCUGUGGUAGAGAGAGGGAGGUACCUCAAUGGUCAAGAGUUGGCCGAGUGAGUGUCCCCCCUUCCGGCUAUAUGAGAAUGAGAAGCCACAGGGCUUCACCUUUCUUUCAAAUUUCUGCUCCUUUCAAGCUUUGUAUCUAGGGGCCUUAGCAUUGCUUUUAUAUUUCCUACCCAUUUAAUCUCAACAACGGUGCUGCCAUGACUGCUGCUUCUGUUUUCAGGAGGUCUUCUAGUUUGCCUGGCCUUUUUCACCAUAAGUUACUUUUGGGACUUCCUUUUCAGGCAAUUCAGCUGUUUGUAGUCCAUUGACGCUUCAAUCGAAGUUGUCUUUCCUUGGUGAAAGUUCGGUCAUCUCUCUAUGCAGCUCCUUCUAUGGCGGCUUUUGGUUUUUGUAAACACGGGUCAUGGGUCUAGGCAAUGGUGCAUCAUCAGCUAUUUUUGAUGGGCUUGGACCCUCUUUAAGAAUAUGGUUGGAUUUGUUUAGAUAGGCCUCUGUAAAUUGGGUCACGAGUCCCUUUUCUAAACUAAAAUUGUAAAUUGUUUCAUAUAUCAAUAAAUUUUAAUAUCUUUAGGAAAAAA